RNAcentral lists this ribosomal RNA (1299 nucleotides) under Vibrio parahaemolyticus. Its description in RNAcentral is "bacterial SSU rRNA". It matches the Rfam family "Bacterial small subunit ribosomal RNA", at positions 66 to 1350 of the family's 1533-position model. The record is from RNAcentral. Lineage: Bacteria; Pseudomonadati; Pseudomonadota; Gammaproteobacteria; Vibrionales; Vibrionaceae.
ACGAGUUAUCUGAACCUUCGGGGAACGAUAACGGCGUCGAGCGGCGGACGGGUGAGUAAUGCCUAGGAAAUUGCCCUGAUGUGGGGGAUAACCAUUGGAAACGAUGGCUAAUACCGCAUGAUGCCUACGGGCCAAAGAGGGGGACCUUCGGGCCUCUCGCGUCAGGAUAUGCCUAGGUGGGAUUAGCUAGUUGGUGAGGUAAGGGCUCACCAAGGCGACGAUCCCUAGCUGGUCUGAGAGGAUGAUCAGCCACACUGGAACUGAGACACGGUCCAGACUCCUACGGGAGGCAGCAGUGGGGAAUAUUGCACAAUGGGCGCAAGCCUGAUGCAGCCAUGCCGCGUGUGUGAAGAAGGCCUUCGGGUUGUAAAGCACUUUCAGUCGUGAGGAAGGUAGUGUAGUUAAUAGCUGCAUUAUUUGACGUUAGCGACAGAAGAAGCACCGGCUAACUCCGUGCCAGCAGCCGCGGUAAUACGGAGGGUGCGAGCGUUAAUCGGAAUUACUGGGCGUAAAGCGCAUGCAGGUGGUUUGUUAAGUCAGAUGUGAAAGCCCGGGGCUCAACCUCGGAAUUGCAUUUGAAACUGGCAGACUAGAGUACUGUAGAGGGGGGUAGAAUUUCAGGUGUAGCGGUGAAAUGCGUAGAGAUCUGAAGGAAUACCGGUGGCGAAGGCGGCCCCCUGGACAGAUACUGACACUCAGAUGCGAAAGCGUGGGGAGCAAACAGGAUUAGAUACCCUGGUAGUCCACGCCGUAAACGAUGUCUACUUGGAGGUUGUGGCCUUGAGCCGUGGCUUUCGGAGCUAACGCGUUAAGUAGACCGCCUGGGGAGUACGGUCGCAAGAUUAAAACUCAAAUGAAUUGACGGGGGCCCGCACAAGCGGUGGAGCAUGUGGUUUAAUUCGAUGCAACGCGAAGAACCUUACCUACUCUUGACAUCCAGAGAACUUUCCAGAGAUGGAUUGGUGCCUUCGGGAACUCUGAGACAGGUGCUGCAUGGCUGUCGUCAGCUCGUGUUGUGAAAUGUUGGGUUAAGUCCCGCAACGAGCGCAACCCUUAUCCUUGUUUGCCAGCGAGUAAUGUCGGGAACUCCAGGGAGACUGCCGGUGAUAAACCGGAGGAAGGUGGGGACGACGUCAAGUCAUCAUGGCCCUUACGAGUAGGGCUACACACGUGCUACAAUGGCGCAUACAGAGGGCGGCCAACUUGCGAAAGUGAGCGAAUCCCAAAAAGUGCGUCGUAGUCCGGAUUGGAGUCUGCAACUCGACUCCAUGAAGUCGGAAUCGCUAGUAAUCGUGGAUC